AAAAGGUUUCAAAAUUAACAAUUUUAACGGUAGAUGCGAUGUGUUUGUGAGUUUAACGGUGUAAAACAAUUCAAAUCUGAUGAAUUUUUUAUAGAAAAUUAUUUUCACUAUUUAGAGUAAGUUCAGUACCUCUGAUCUUAAAUUCAAGUCUUUUUAACAAUUUUAACGGUAGAUGUGAUGCGUUUGUGAGUUUAACGGUGUAAAACAAUUCAAAUCUGAUGAAUUUUUUAUAGAAAAUUAUUUUCACUAUUUAGAGUAAGUUCAGUACCUCUAAUCUUAAAUUCAAGUCUUUUAUCAUCAUUGUUUAUUAGAUUUUUACUUUCAGCCGUUUAUUUUUAGACUACUCGUUUGAUAGGUAAAUGAUGCCAAAAAAUUAUGAAAUUUAGUUUCCAAAUACUUUCAAUGGUGUAGAUCAAGUCUAACGGAGCCGAUCGUCGAUUUAAAACCCGCAAUAUUGAAAACAACUUUAUAGUACGGAAGCUUUCGUGUUACCGAUAGUAUACUCAGCCUAAUUUUUUUUUUUAACCUCCUCAACUUGUAUAUUAUAUACACAACCAU
This 558-nucleotide long non-coding RNA is filed under the name Ananas comosus (pineapple). RNAcentral describes it as "long non-coding RNA (ACOM_LNC024840)". Lineage: Eukaryota; Viridiplantae; Streptophyta; Magnoliopsida; Poales; Bromeliaceae. The record is from RNAcentral.